UGAGUAACACGUGGGUGAUCUGCCCUGCACUCUGGGAUAAGCCUGGGAAACUGGGUCUAAUACCGGAUAGGACCACACACUUCAUGGUGAGUGGUGCAAAGCUUUUGCGGUGUGGGAUGAGCCCGCGGCCUAUCAGCUUGUUGGUGGGGUAAUGGCCCACCAAGGCGACGACGGGUAGCCGGCCUGAGAGGGUGACCGGCCACACUGGGACUGAGAUACGGCCCAGACUCCUACGGGAGGCAGCAGUGGGGAAUAUUGCACAAUGGGCGCAAGCCUGAUGCAGCGACGCCGCGUGAGGGAUGACGGCCUUCGGGUUGUAAACCUCUUUCAGUAGGGACGAAGCGAAAGUGACGGUACCUACAGAAGAAGGACCGGCCAACUACGUGCCAGCAGCCGCGGUAAUACGUAGGGUCCGAGCGUUGUCCGGAAUUACUGGGCGUAAAGAGCUCGUAGGUGGUUUGUCGCGUUGUUCGUGAAAACUCACAGCUUAACUGUGGGCGUGCGGGCGAUACGGGCAGACUAGAGUACUGCAGGGGAGACUGGAAUUCCUGGUGUAGCGGUGGAAUGCGCAGAUAUCAGGAGGAACACCGGUGGCGAAGGCGGGUCUCUGGGCAGUAACUGACGCUGAGGAGCGAAAGCGUGGGUAGCGAACAGGAUUAGAUACCCUGGUAGUCCACGCCGUAAACGGUGGGUACUAGGUGUGGGUUUCCUUCCUUGGGAUCCGUGCCGUAGCUAACGCAUUAAGUACCCCGCCUGGGGAGUACGGUCGCAAGACUAAAACUCAAAGGAAUUGACGGGGGGCCCGCACAA
This 810-nucleotide ribosomal RNA is filed under the name Mycobacterium sp. RNAcentral's name for it is "bacterial SSU rRNA". It matches the Rfam family "Bacterial small subunit ribosomal RNA", at positions 107 to 928 of the family's 1533-position model. The record is from RNAcentral. Lineage: Bacteria; Bacillati; Actinomycetota; Actinomycetes; Mycobacteriales; Mycobacteriaceae.